RNAcentral lists this ribosomal RNA (465 nucleotides) under Vreelandella stevensii. RNAcentral describes it as "partial 16S ribosomal RNA". It matches the Rfam family "Bacterial small subunit ribosomal RNA", at positions 338 to 795 of the family's 1533-position model. Lineage: Bacteria; Pseudomonadati; Pseudomonadota; Gammaproteobacteria; Oceanospirillales; Halomonadaceae. The record is from RNAcentral.
CCUACGGGAGGCAGCAGUGGGGAAUAUUGGACAAUGGGGGGAACCCUGAGCCAGCCAUGCCGCGUGUGUGAAGAAGGCCCUCGGGUUGUAAAGCACUUUCAGUGAGGAAGAACGCCUGGUGGUUAAUACCCAUCAGGAAAGACAUCACUCACAGAAGAAGCACCGGCUAACUCCGUGCCAGCAGCCGCGGUAAUACGGAGGGUGCGAGCGUUAAUCGGAAUUACUGGGCGUAAAGCGCGCGUAGGUGGCUUGAUAAGCCGGUUGUGAAAGCCCCGGGCUCAAACUGGGAACGGCAUCCGGAACUGUCAAUCUAGAGUGCAGGAGAGGAAGGUAGUAUUCCCGGUGUAGCGGUGAAAAGCGUAGAGAUCGGGAGGAAUACCAGUGGCGAAGGCGGCCUUCUGGACUGACACUGACACUGAGGUGCGAAAGCGUCGGUAGCAAACAGGCUUAGAUACCCCAGUAGUC